RNAcentral lists this ribosomal RNA (407 nucleotides) under uncultured bacterium. RNAcentral's name for it is "partial 16S ribosomal RNA". It matches the Rfam family "Bacterial small subunit ribosomal RNA", at positions 30 to 526 of the family's 1533-position model. The record is from RNAcentral.
AUUGAACGCUGGCGGCAGGCCUCACACAUGCAAGUCGAGCGGAGCGGCGGACGGGUGAGUAAUGCCUAGGAAUCCGCCUCGUAGUGGUGGAUAAGGUCCGGAAACGGGCGCUAAAACCGCAUCCUAUCAGAUUAGCCUAGGGCGGGUUAGCUAGUUGGUGGGGUAAAGGCCUACCAAGGCGACGCUCCGUAACUGGUCUGAGAGGAUGAUCAGUCACACUGGAACUGAGACACGGUCCAGACUCCUACGGGAGGCAGCAGUGGGGAAUAUUGGACAAUGGGCGAAAGCCUGAUCCAGCCAUGCCGCGUGUGUGAAGAAGGUCUUCGGAUUGUAAAGCACUUUAAGUUGGGAGGCGUUACCAACAGAAUAAGCACCGGCUAACUUCGUGCCAGCAGCCGCGGUAAUAC